This 425-nucleotide ribosomal RNA is filed under the name uncultured bacterium. RNAcentral describes it as "partial 16S ribosomal RNA". It matches the Rfam family "Bacterial small subunit ribosomal RNA", at positions 354 to 796 of the family's 1533-position model. The record is from RNAcentral.
GUGGGGAAUCUUGCGCAAUGGGCGAAAGCCUGACGCAGCCAUGCCGCGUGAAUGAUGAAGGUCUUAGGAUUGUAAAAUUCUUUCACCGGGGACGAUAAUGACGGUACCCGGAGAAGAAGCUCCGGCUAACUUCGUGCCAGCAGCCGCGGUAAUACGAAGGGGGCUAGCGUUGCUCGGAAUUACUGGGCGUAAAGGGCGCGUAGGCGGACAGCUUAGUCAGAGGUGAAGGCCCAGGGCUCAACCUUGGAAUUGCCUUUGAUACUGGCUGUCUUGAGUUUGGGAGAGGUGAGUGGAACUCCGGGUGUAGAGGUGAAAUUCGUAGAUAUUCGGAAGAACACCAGUGGCGAAGGCGACUCACUGGCCCAAUACUGACGCUGAGGCGCGAAAGCGUGGGGAGCAAACAGGAUUAGAAACCCGAGUAGUCC